GUCGAACGAUGAUCCUKAGCUUGCUGGGGGGAUUAGUGGCGAACGGGUGAGUAACACGUGAGUAACCUGCCCUUAACUCUGGGAUAAGCCUGGGAAACUGGGUCUAAUACCGGAUAUGACUCCUCAUCGCAUGGUGGGGGGUGGAAAGCUUUUUGUGGUUUUGGAUGGACUCGCGGCCUAUCAGCUUGUUGGUGAGGUAAUGGCUUACCAAGGCGACGACGGGUAGCCGGCCUGAGAGGGUGACCGGCCACACUGGGACUGAGACACGGCCCAGACUCCUACGGGAGGCAGCAGUGGGGAAUAUUGCACAAUGGGCGCAAGCCUGAUGCAGCGACGCCGCGUGAGGGAUGACGGCCUUCGGGUUGUAACACCU
Molecule: ribosomal RNA, 373 nt
Filed under: Arthrobacter sp. 098-2.2-CV-A-05
Lineage: Bacteria; Bacillati; Actinomycetota; Actinomycetes; Micrococcales; Micrococcaceae
Description: bacterial SSU rRNA
Rfam family: Bacterial small subunit ribosomal RNA
Source: RNAcentral